GAGGUGAUCCAGCCACACUGGAACUGAGACACGGUCCAGACUCCUACGGGAGGCAGCAGUGGGGAAUAUUGCACAAUGGGCGCAAGCCUGAUGCAGCCAUGCCGCGUGUAUGAAGAAGGCCUUCGGGUUGUAAAGUACUUUCAGCGGGGAGGAAGGGAGUAAAGUUAAUAC
Molecule: ribosomal RNA, 171 nt
Filed under: Escherichia fergusonii
Lineage: Bacteria; Pseudomonadati; Pseudomonadota; Gammaproteobacteria; Enterobacterales; Enterobacteriaceae
Description: partial 16S ribosomal RNA
Rfam family: Bacterial small subunit ribosomal RNA
Source: RNAcentral